GAAACCGGAAAGGGGAGGGGUCAGGGUGGCUGCCGAGAGAGGUGCCAGAGUGGUGGGUGGGUGGCCUGGAUUGAUCUCACCCCCAGGAUGGGCAUUUUCUGGCCUGAGCUCUAGGUGGCCACGUGGACCAUAGACCAAAGAGGUCUCCCAGCCUCCAUUCUCACCUCGCUGGUCCACCCUCCCCGGACUGUCUAUGGCCUCCUGACUGUGCCGCUCCCUGCCUACACCCUCUGUGGCUCCCACAGGCCUCGAGAAGAAGCCCAGGCGUGGGCAGGGUGAUCCGCCACGUAGCCGCUCUGAGCCUCAGUGUCCUGAUCCGUAAAGAAGCAACAAUAGAAGGCCCGAUCCCCGGAGUUUCUAUGGAAUUUAAGUUGCCCUCGCAGGGGCCAAGCUGGGAGCCAACGCACGGGAGAUCCCGGAACGCCGAGCUGCUGUCAGCACCACGAUGACAGGCUGGAAAGCGAGUUUGCAACCCCUGCAGGGAGAAGUAGCAGCCGGCUUUCCCUCUGGUGCCUGGGGGUCCAGGGCAGCGACGAGGUGGGAAAGUGAAAGGACGAGAGCAGUGAGACAAAGGGACGAGCCCACUGGACCAACUGGACCAACGUGGAGACGCAGACCAGGGGGACCCAGGCAGGGCAGACCAAGCGCCUGGGAAGCGGUCUUUCAGCUGGGGGGCAAUGAGGAGGGAGCCCACAGAGAGGGGCCGGGCUGCCCAGUACCCAGGGCUUGGCUCCCAGCAAGCAGUUAUGGAAUGAAUGCAUCAUGAAUGAAUGAACCAAUGUAGGUUGCAUGCCACCUAAAUGCCAGGCUUUCUCCCAUCCAUG
This is a long non-coding RNA of Equus caballus (horse), 824 nucleotides long. RefSeq lists it as uncharacterized. The record is from RefSeq and is a predicted model, not a curated record. Lineage: Eukaryota; Metazoa; Chordata; Mammalia; Perissodactyla; Equidae.